Molecule: long non-coding RNA, 694 nt
Organism: Solanum tuberosum (potato)
Lineage: Eukaryota; Viridiplantae; Streptophyta; Magnoliopsida; Solanales; Solanaceae
Exons: 5
Source: RefSeq, a predicted model, not a curated record
CUCAUCGCCUUUGCGGAGAUGUUCUCCCUUGUGCUCCCCAACUGCAGCUUCCUUCCCCUUUGGUUAAGCGGGAUUAACACUCCCCACCUUGAUGUUGUUGCUAUUGUUGUUGAUGUUGAGAUCAGUUUUCAAAGGUGUACUACAAAUUAUUAAGUAUUGGGAAAAAUGGUGGAGAUGGAAUAAAAUUGAUGUUGAGAUUUUAUAUGCAAAAUCCAACCAAUUCAGGAUUGAGGAUCCAAAAUAGAGUAGAAAAUCCUAAAAAUGCCAGCAGCAUUACGUGUGUAAGAAAAUUCAGACUCCCUUGUUCUAGUCUGACCUCAAGUUUGGAACCUUCUAUUUCAGGAGACAGUUGCAACUCUUUGGAUAGCUACAAAAGUUUAACUACUGAUGGAUAUAUGAGGCUUGCUCAAGUAGUUGAGCUUCUUCACUAUCAACCUAUAGGUUGACGGUUCGAGUCAUGUUGGAGGAAAAAAAUGACGGAUAACAAAAUGAAGAAGGCAUAGAGUCAAACUACUUUUGAUAAGAAAAAAGAUUUUGCAUAGUGAUAGACUUGAAGUGGAUAUCAACAAGAGUGAUGUCUUUCUACUUUUGUUUAAGAGGAAAGUUCAUGAAUAUUGACAGUCUUGUGAAAUGAAUAUCAACAAGAUCUUACACAAUUAUGUAUUAAUUUUGUUUUUCCUUCUAUUUUUAGCGA